Molecule: ribosomal RNA, 424 nt
Filed under: uncultured bacterium
Lineage: Bacteria
Description: bacterial SSU rRNA
Rfam family: Bacterial small subunit ribosomal RNA
Source: RNAcentral
UGGGGAAUCUUGCACAAUGGGGGCAACCCUGAUGCAGCGACGCCGCGUGAGCGAUGAAGCCCUUCGGGGUGUAAAGCUCUUUCGGCAGGGAAGAUGAUGACGGUACCUGCAGAAGCAGCUGCGGCUAACUACGUGCCAGCAGCCGCGGUAAUACGUAGGCAGCAAGCGUUGUUCGGAGUUACUGGGCGUAAAGGGUGUGUAGGCGGUUUUUUAAGUUUGGUGUGAAAUCUCCCGGCUCAACUGGGAGGGUGCGCCGAAUACUGAAAGACUAGAGUGCGGGAGAGGAAAGUGGAAUUCCUGGUGUAGCGGUGAAAUGCGUAGAUAUCAGGAGGAACACCGGUGGUGUAGACGGCUUUCUGGACCGUAACUGACGCUGAGACACGAAAGCGUGGGUAGCAAACAGGAUUAGAUACCCGCGUAGUCC